UGGGCAACCUGCCCUCAGCUCUGGGGUAACUCCAAGAAAUUGGGGCUAAUACCGGAUAUGACUGCUGACCGCAUGGUCUGGUGGUAGAAAGAUUUAUCGGCUGGGGAUGGGCCCGCGGCCUAUCAGCUUGUUGGUGGGGUGAAGGCCUACCAAGGCGACGACGGGUAGCCGGCCUGAGAGGGUGACCGGCCACACUGGGACUGAGACACGGCCCAGACUCCUACGGGA
This 228-nucleotide ribosomal RNA is filed under the name uncultured bacterium. Its description in RNAcentral is "partial 16S ribosomal RNA". It matches the Rfam family "Bacterial small subunit ribosomal RNA", at positions 118 to 346 of the family's 1533-position model. The record is from RNAcentral.